Molecule: ribosomal RNA, 253 nt
Filed under: uncultured bacterium
Lineage: Bacteria
Description: partial 16S ribosomal RNA
Rfam family: Bacterial small subunit ribosomal RNA
Source: RNAcentral
UACGAAGGGGGCUAGCGUUGCUCGGAAUUACUGGGCGUAAAGCGCACGUAGGCGGCUUUCUAAGUCGGGGGUGUAAUCCUGGAGCUCAACUCCAGAACUGCCUUCGAUACUGGAGAGCUUGAGUCCGGGAGAGGUGAGUGGAACUGCGAGUGUAGAGGUGAAAUUCGUAGAUAUUCGCAAGAACACCAGUGGCGAAGGCGGCUCACUGGCCCGGUACUGACGCUGAGGUGCGAAAGCGUGGGGAGCAAACAGG